This 253-nucleotide ribosomal RNA is filed under the name uncultured bacterium. RNAcentral describes it as "partial 16S ribosomal RNA". It matches the Rfam family "Bacterial small subunit ribosomal RNA", at positions 524 to 776 of the family's 1533-position model. The record is from RNAcentral.
UACGUAGGGAGCAAGCGUUGUUCGGAUUUACUGGGCGUAAAGCGCACGUAGGCGGAUCUUUAAGUCAGAGGUGAAAUCCCAAGGCUCAACCUUGGAACUGCCUUUGAUACUGGAGAUCUUGAGUCCGGGAGAGGUGAGUGGAACUGCGAGUGUAGAGGUGAAAUUCGUAGAUAUUCGCAAGAACACCAGUGGCGAAGGCGGCUCACUGGCCCGGUACUGACGCUGAGGUGCGAAAGCGUGGGGAGCAAACAGG